AACCCUAAUGCUGAUUGCAUGGAAAAGCUCAGUUUAGGGUUUAAAACCCUAAUGCUGGCUGAAAGGAAAAGGUUCAGUUUAGGGUUUAAAACCCUAAUGCUGACUAAAAGGAAAAUUCAGUUUAGGGUUUAAAACCCUAAUGCUGAUUGCAUGGAAAAGCUCAGUUUAGGGUUUAAAACCCUAAUGUUGGCUGAAAGGAAAAAGUUCAGUUUAGGGUUUAAAACCCUAAUGCUGAUUGCAUGGAAAAGCUCAGUUUAGGGUUUAAAACCCUAAUGCUGGCUGAAAGGAAAAAGUUCAGCUUAGGGUUUAAAACCCUAAUGCUGACUAAAAGGAAAAUUCAGUUUAGGGUUUAAAACCCUAAUGCUGAUUGCAUGGAAAAGCUCAAUUUAGGGUUUAAAACCCUAAUGCUGACUAAAAGGAAAAUUCAGUUUAGGGUUUAAAACCCUAAUGCUGAUUGAAGGAAAAAUUCAGUUUAGGGUUUAAAACCCUAAUGCUGAUUGAAGGGAAAAAUUCAGUUUAGGGUUUAAAACCCUAAUGUUGAUUACAUGGAAAAGCUCAGUUUAGGGUUUAAAACCCUAAUGCUGGCUGAAAGGAAAAAGUUCAGUUUAGGGUUUAAAACCCUAAUGCUGACUAAAAGGAAAAUUCAGUUUAGGGUUUAAAACCCUAAUGCUGAUUACAUGGAAAAGCUCAGUUUAGGGUUUAAAACCCUAAUGCUGGCUGAAAGGAAAAGGUUCAGUUUAGGGUUUAA
Molecule: long non-coding RNA, 748 nt
Filed under: Nicotiana tabacum (common tobacco)
Lineage: Eukaryota; Viridiplantae; Streptophyta; Magnoliopsida; Solanales; Solanaceae
Description: long non-coding RNA (NTAB_LNC008861)
Source: RNAcentral